UACGUAGGGGCCUAGCGUUGUCCGGAAUCAUUGGGCGUAAAGAGCGCGUAGGCGGCCCGGUAAGUCCGCUGUAAAAGUCAAAGGCUUAACCUUUGAAAGUCAGUGGAUACUGCCGGGCUAGAGUCCGGAAGAGGCGAGUGGAACUCCUGGUGUAGCGGUGGAAUGCGCAGAUAUCAGGAAGAACACCAACGGCGAAGGCAGCUCGCUAGGACGGAACUGACGCUGAGGCGCGAAAGCGUGGGGAGCGAACAGG
Molecule: ribosomal RNA, 253 nt
Filed under: uncultured bacterium
Lineage: Bacteria
Description: partial 16S ribosomal RNA
Rfam family: Bacterial small subunit ribosomal RNA
Source: RNAcentral